This is a non-coding RNA of Salmo salar (Atlantic salmon), 56 nucleotides long. The record is from Rfam. NCBI's taxonomy places the organism in Eukaryota, Metazoa, Chordata, Actinopteri, Salmoniformes, Salmonidae.
UGUAUUCACUACUGUGAAUGUCGCUCUGGAUAAGAGCGUCUGCUAAAUGACUACAA